UGUUCAAGUGAAAAUGUAAAUAAAUCAUAGAGCGAGAAAGAGAGAGAGAGAAAAUCGCGAAAGGUAAAUAGACCCCGAAUUAAGUAAGACAAAUGUGCAAAAGUGAUUGAAAGCCGCGUCGAAAAUGAUUGUGAAAAUGGAGCCGGACGAACUGAUCACAUUCCGUGUCCAGUAUCUGGUGGACGGCGAUCCGCUCUCGGCCUGCACCGCCUUCCCGAUCCCGGUGCGGGCGCCCACCUACGCCUUCGUCACCACCAUGCCGCUGGCCCAUCAGCUGGGCACCAUCCUGCGGCUGCUCAACGCGCCCCAAAGCAUCGACGAUGCAGCCAUCCAGGUGUACAAGGAUGGCGACUACGGAGCCUACUUGGAUCUGGAGUCAUCGCUGGCCGAGCAGACCGAGGAAAUCGAGGGAGUCAACGUCAGCCGCAAGAACUCGCUGGUGGUGCGAACGCAGUUAAAUGUGCGCGUGCAUGCCAUAAUUGAGAAGCUGCUCUCCGCACAGGGCAGUGACCUGCGGCGCGCUCUCUUCUCGCUGAAGCAGGUGUUCCAGGAGGAUAAGGAUCUGGUGCACGCCUUCGUGGCCCUCGGCGGGCUCAAUUGCUUGGUGCGCGUGGGCAAUUGUGCGGAUCAAAACUAUCAGAAUUACAUUCUGCGGGCCCUCGGCCAGGUCAUGCUCUAUGUGGACGGAAUGAACGGCGUGAUGAAGCAUGAGCCGACGAUGCAGUGGCUCUACUCGCUGAUUGCCUCCAAUUACCGCUCCGUGGUGAAGACCGCCCUCAAGCUGUUGCUGGUCUUCGUGGAGUACGCCGAGUCCAACUGCUAUGUGCUGGUCAGUGCCAUUCACGCAGUGGACGCUUCCCAGGGCACACUGCCGUGGUCAAAUAUAAUGAGACUGCUUAAGGACUACGACAAUGCGGAUGCCGAGCUGGUCAUCUAUGCCACUUCUCUGAUAAACAAAACCCUAGCGGGUCUAAAUGAUCAGGACAGCUUCUACGACGAAAGCGAUCUUCUAGAGCAGCAGGGCAUGGAGACUGUGAUCCAGCGUUAUAUGUCCAAGCCGGGCACAGAUUUGGAUCUCCUCGAUCAGCUGCAACUGUAUGAGGCUGUGCUGAAAUUUGAGGAUGGUGAGUCGGAUGGACAGCGUCUGCCGCAGAACUCGAUGCGAAAAACGCAACGCUAUCGCCCGGGAACAAAUACCACUGAACGGCGCAAAUCGCGUCGCCACAGCACGGAUAAUAGUCCCGCACCACUCACAAAGGUGCUGCCCACCACUGUCCUCCGGAUGACACCCACACAGGCCACCGUGGAUGAGGACAGUUCUGGAUCCACCAACUCUACGGAAUUUAGCGGAGGGCUCUUCAAUGAGAAGAAACCUCGCGAUGGAGCAGGCGUGACUCCAGGACUUCGAAGAAGACGAGAGCGGGCGGAGCGGCACAAGAGCUUCCUGAAGGAGCAACAGGAGGCGGCUGCCAAUGGAAUCUUCGCUGCUCUCGAGCAGCGCGAGGGACUGGGCCAAAUUGUAACUGCCAUACCCGCCACCAUUCAAACCGGCGACAGCCCGCCGCAGUCCCUGCAACAUGAGGCACCACCGUGCAACAACAUCAGCGGAAUCUCCAGCAUCAGUAACAACAACGUUAGCAACCUUAGCUGCAAUGACACGCCGAACAACAGCCUCCUGGUGAUGAGUCCUAGCAAGCAACUGCUCACCGGAAGCCACAGCAUCUCCAUCAUAAACAACAGCUUCGAUAAGGCGAGCAAUAACAAUCAGAGCGAGUUCCUGACCAAGAAGAACCUAUUCCGGGAACGCAAUUCAACUGUGAUCAAUGGUAUAAUGAAGAAUAUCCAGCAAACCGAUAGUGCCUAUAAGAAGUACGAGAACGAGGCGAACCGUCUGAACAACUACUAUAGUCAGUCGCCGAAACAUCAGAUCCAUCAGCCAAUUCAGCCAACGCCAGAGGUCCUUUUGAGUCCCAAAAAAACGCUGAAUGCUUCUGGGUUCGACUUCACGCCCGCUCCCCUCAGUUCCACCCCGGUUAAGUGUGAUGUGCUGCCGGAACCGGAGCCACUCAGUCCGGUCAAGAAACCCGCUGCGGCCCCACCACCGCCUCCUCCACCGCCACCGCCGCCUCCACCGCCACCUGGCUGGUGGCACGCCCCCAUCUACAGCUGCCCGCCAGCUCGUACCCUAACCAGUACUAACCCAGAGCUGCUGCCGCAUCCGCCGGAUCCUACAGAUAUGGACAGCGAGGACAAGCAGCUGCUGCUCCAACUGAAGCGGGACCACACCGUCAAGGAUCUCACCCAGAAGCUGAGCAACCUGCCCAUGAGUCCCACGCAGGAUUCCGCCAAUCGUGCCCUCGUCGGCGAUAUGUCCGGCUUGAUUUCGAAGGCCAAGGAGGGUCUGGCCAAGAGCAAGAGCAAGGGAGAUAUAUCCAGAUCUUCUAGUGUCGAUCAGGACAUAAAGAAGUCUGAGCCCAAGAAGUCGGAAAACGAACUUCACUGGGAGGAACUGGUUAGGAACAUGACAAGGCCCCUGAAUCUUUGCGAUCUGGACUUUACGGACCUGAGGGACGAUGACGAGAAGGAUGUGCUGGCCCCCCGAAGUUUGGGCGCAGGAAUACCCCCGCCGCCACCCCCGUUGGGUGGAGCCAUUGCCCCACCGCCCAUGAUGCCGCCCAGCCUGGCGCCUCCACCCAUGUACGGAUAUGGCGGCAGUCUGACCAACAGUGUCAACUCGCUGAAUGGCUCCAUAAAUGGGGAACUGGUUAAUGGCAAUAACACCAUCAAAAAGAACAAGAAAACGGUCAAGCUCUUCUGGAAGGAAGUGCGCGAGGACAUGAUACCGCAGGUGGUGGGCAAGACCAUUUGGGAUGAGCUGCCCGAUGCCAACGUGGACACCCAGAAGCUCGAACAUCUCUUUGAGUCCCGGGCCAAAGACUUGAUGACCAAGAAACAACAAGAGCUGAACAAGAGCAAAGAGAUCAUCGUGCUUGAUCACAAGCGCUCCAAUGCCAUCAACAUUGCGAUCACCAAGCUGCCUCCUCCGAGGGCCAUUAAGACGGCCAUCCUCAAGAUGGAUGCCACCGUGGUCACUCGGGAGGGAAUCGAUAAGCUACUCAAUAUGCUGCCCACCGAUGAGGAGCGUGGCAAGAUCCAGGAGGCCCAGCUAUCCAACCCGGAGCUGCCCCUGGGCAGUGCCGAGCAGUUCCUGUUGACCCUGGCCUCCAUUUCGGAGCUGGAAGCCCGCCUGAAGUUGUGGGCUUUCCGUCUGGACUUUGACAACAGUGAGAAAGAGAUUGCGGAACCCCUGAUGGACCUCAAGCAAGGCAUUGAGAUCCUGCGUCAGAAUCGCACCUUCCGCAGCAUCCUCUCCACACUGCUGUCUGUGGGCAUCUUUCUGAAUGGAGCUCCCGUCAAGGGAUUCCAGAUCGAGUAUCUGGCAAAGGUUCCGGAAGUGAAGGACACGGUGCACAAACACUCGCUGCUGCACCACCUCUGCCACAUGGUCAUGGAAUCGAGCAGUGAUACCAGUGAUCUGUACUCCGAGAUUGGACCCAUUACCCGAGCCUCCAAGGCGGACUUCACGGACUUGGCACACAAUCUCAAUCAGUUGGAGGCGGAGUGCAAGGCAUGCUGGGAUCGCCUGAAGCUAAUUGCCAAACACGACUGUCCGCCACCGUUGAAGCAGAAGCUGGUGGACUUCCUGGCCGAUUGUGCGGAGCGCAUCAUUAUCCUGCAAAUCGUCCAUCGACGCGUGAUGAAUCGCUACCGGAAGUUCCUUUUGUGGCUGGGAAUGCCGCAGCACAGUGUGGCGGAAUCGCGUCCCAACGAAUUCUGCCGCACUCUCUCCGAGUUCGCCCUGGAAUACCGCACCACCCGGGAGCGGGUGCAGCAGCAGCUGGAGAAGAAGGCCAACCACCGGGAGCGGAACAAGACCCGUGGAAAGCUGAUCAUCGACAUGGCCAAGUUCAAGACCAAAGAUGACGUGGCCGAUGAUGAGUUGAAAAAACUGCUGGACACAUCGAGUGCCGACCAGGCCGAUGGCACACUCACCUGGCGGAGGCGACGAGCGGAACAGCUCCGCUCACCAAUUACGCGGCAAAGCGAGGAGCAGUUCACCGAUGGCGACGAUGAGAUCUUGGAAUCCCUGGUCAAGACCGCCACCAAGGCUCCAGGCACCCGGACAACGCCGAGGGAACGGAAACGGACGCGCCACGCGGAUCGCAAAUCAUUGAAGCGCAGCCGCACGCGCGAAGGAUUCACAGUUGAAAGAGCACCAUCGCCGUAGAAACCGUUACUGUUAACCGAAUCCGUAACCGUGGCCAAAAGAACAGCCAACUGUUUUUUAGGUUUUACCUUUUUUGUACGUCGCACGCUGAAAAACGGUCUGACCGAGGAGGAGAAACAGCACGUGGCUGCCUUAAUACAAACCUAUUAGGAUAAGCACAUACU
This 4452-nucleotide unclassified non-coding RNA is filed under the name Drosophila erecta. RNAcentral describes it as "GG14348". Lineage: Eukaryota; Metazoa; Arthropoda; Insecta; Diptera; Drosophilidae. The record is from RNAcentral.